Molecule: ribosomal RNA, 252 nt
Filed under: uncultured bacterium
Lineage: Bacteria
Description: partial 16S ribosomal RNA
Rfam family: Bacterial small subunit ribosomal RNA
Source: RNAcentral
ACCUAGGUGUCAAGCGUUAUCCGGAAUUACUGGGCGUAAAGGGUGCGCAGGCGGCGAUACAAGUCUGGCGUGAAAGCUUCUGGCUUAACUGGGAGAGGACGUUAGAAACUGUAUGGCUAGAGUGAAUGAGAGGGAGGCGGAAAUCCCGGUGUAGUGGUGGAAUGCGUAGAUAUCGGGAAGAACACCAGAGGCGAAGGCGGCCUCCUGGCAUUUUACUGACGCUGAGGCACGAAAGCGUGGGUAGCGAACGGG